AGCGAACGCUGGCGGCAUGCCUAACACAUGCAAGUCGCACGGGGGGGCUUCGGCCUCCCAGUGGCGGACGGGUGAGGAACGCGUAGGGACCUGUCGAGGGGUGGGGGAUAACCGCGGGAAACUGCGGCUAAUACCGCAUGACGCCGCGGCGUGACAGCCGGGGCCAAAGGCGAAAGCCGCCCGCCGAGGGGCCUGCGUCCGAUUAGCUGGUUGGCGGGGUAGCGGCCCACCAAGGCGUCGAUCGGUAGCUGGUCUGAGAGGGUGAUCAGCCACACCGGGACUGAGACACGGCCCGGACUCCUACGGGAGGCAGCAGUGGGGAAUAUUGGACAAUGGGCGCAAGCAUGAUCCAGCAAUGCCGCGUGGGUGAAGAAGGUCUUCGGAUUGUAAAGCCCUUUCGGCGGGGACGAUGGUGACGGUACCCGCAGAAGAAGCCCCGGCUAACUUCGUG
Molecule: ribosomal RNA, 451 nt
Filed under: uncultured bacterium
Lineage: Bacteria
Description: partial 16S ribosomal RNA
Rfam family: Bacterial small subunit ribosomal RNA
Source: RNAcentral